CUGCCGGACGUGGCACUCCUGGGCAGGUGCUCCUGGUGGGUAGGAAGCAAGCUGAAUACAAGCCUAGAGAACAUGCCAGUGUGCUCUGUCUCUCUAAGGCCUCUGCUCCAGGUUCCUGCCCUGACAUCUCUCCACAGUAGACUGUGAUGUAGAAAUGUGACAUCUACCUGCCAGUGUUUUAUCACAGUGGUAGAUGGCUAACUAAGGCAGGGGAGCAUUAGUCACCCCUCAGGGAGUGCCCUGUGCCGUGGGGUCUGGGGGUCUGAUGCUACCACGGUUCACUUCAGAGAAGAGGCAGCUGGCUACUUCUACACUACGUUUAUACGCUCAGCUCUGGUCACUGGACUCUGACCUGGAGAUGUGGUAGCUUCCCCGGAAGGCACAGAAAGCCUGACCUCCCCCUGGAUCAGAGCAUCCGUCAGUGGCUUGUGCUCGCUGACCUUGGAGCGUGCCAGUUUCCGAGGAGAGAUCCUGGGUCGGGGUGAGAGGUUCACUGAAUGGUGUGAACCAGAUACUGGCUGCUGGCCCCUCUCUAAGCCAGUGGGCUGGCUGGGGACAUCUGUCCUACUGGUCUCUUUUGGGUGAGAUACCUGCUACUAACUUUGCUAUGGCAGCAACAGAAGUCCACAGUCACAGCUUGGUUAACACCAGAAGGCAACCGUGUGCUUAAUAUAUGCCAGACACUGAGAGGUGACUCUGUUAAUAGCUCAUUUUCCUAUUACUUGCCCACCGGCACAGGGAUUCACGUGGCUUUUAGAAGCAACCCUUCCUGACCUAUCUUGAUUCGCCUCCUUCUUGGAAUUCCAUCAGAACUGGGUGCCACCUCUUGUCUCUCAGUUAGGGAGAGCUCACUGGAAGCACGUGGGGAAUCCAAAGGCUCCCUGGGAUGGGUGUCUCUGACUUGGGAAAAGGAGCCUGAGUUUUCCAAUACGGAGGAUGGUGACUCCCUGACCUGAUUUCAUUGUAGAAUAGUCCGUUAGCUAAGUUGGAUCCUAUGGCUCCCAUUAUCCAAGAGGGAAGCUCUUGGAUGUUCUGCCCUGUUACUUUGAGCAGUCAGUCUCAUUGGCAGACACGUACUGGCCCUAGCAGGGAGAGUGGAGCCAUGUCAGAAAGCCGACACCCUUUCAAGUCGGUUCCAGAUCCAACUCCCUUGCAGCUACCACUGCCUGACAAUGCCUGUGCACCCUUCCCUGAGGGGCUGGGAUUUCCCUGCUCAUCCUCACCCGGAAGGACAUUUCCACAUUCUCCCCUCCCCAGAUCUCCAUCUGGUUAUCAUAGGUACCGAUGUGCUCAAAGUAGGCCUUGGAGAUGGAGAAGAGGCCGCCGGCAAACGUCGGGGACCUGGCGGGAGAUAGGGAGAGAGCACAGGUAUCGUGAGUAGAGGCAGGUGGGGAGGGCUGGUGGCUGGCUUCCUCUCUGAGGCCUCCUACUUCAAGUCCUGCUCCUGCUGGCUCAGGCAGCCCCUCUGCUAAAUACCACUGUGCCACCUCUCCUUCUAGAACUGGGCCUAGGAGAGAGGCAGUCAGCAACACUCUCUUAACUGGACUGGUCGGUUGAUCAACUGGGGAAGUAGGAACCACCACCCAGCAGGGCCUGAGGGCAUGGCUGCCAUCUGGAGCUGGGGGAGGAGUCUAUAGUGAGGGGGAGGAGUCUAGAACGAAGGGGAAGAGUCUAGAGAGGGGGAGGAGUCUAGAAUGAAGGGGAGGAGUUUAGAAUGAGGGGGAAGAGUCUAGAGGGAGAGGAGACUAGAAAGAGGGGAGGAGUCUCUCAUGUUCUGUGUUGGUGUUAGUCACAGAUCUGCCACCUUCAGAAGCCCCCUGAGACAGAUUCCGCAAACGGGCAAGAUUUAGACAGGAAGGGAAGUAUGCACGUUGUCAGCUGGGCCGACCCCAUUCAAAGUCAGCGUCUACAUCCUUUCAGGGACCACAUGGCCACAGCAUCUGCUGGGACCUAGCCUGCUUCCAAGGGAAGCUGCCAGUUGUCUCGGACAGGGGACACUGGUGAGUGGAGGUGCCCCUGGUAACUGGGGGCAGGGGGAGUGAGAACUCGAUAUGGACUGUGAGGAGACUCCUAAGAGUUCUGGCUUUCACUGACCCACAUCAAGACUGAACCAAUGGAGAAGUCUUAGAGUCCAGCCAUGGGGAUUCCCUGGACGAGCUCUCGUCUUCCUGAUGUUGCUUCUAUAGCCAUUAUCUAGAAGGGAUUUCAGUUGGGAAACCCUCACACUUGGGCUAGCUUUCCCUGCUGCCACUUCUAUCUUCUUCCAGGGCUCCCAAGCCUGCCCAAGUAGCACCAGGAAGGCUCUGAGAACCCUAGAACUCCACAUGAACACCCUGAAACUAGCCUGCUCUUGAGGGUAUGAGAGGAUUCCCAAGACGGAGGGCAUCCCUGACAAAUUAGCUUUGAGGGUAAAUGCCACUCAGGAACUUCCCUGUAGACUCACGCCAACAGGUGGUAGCCUCUAAGAAACACCUGUGUAUCCUGUCCUACUUCCUGGGACCCUGUGUCUCUUUUAGCUCUCACUUCUGCUCUCCAUCGCUCUAAGAAUGAACAUGUGUGGUACCUCCAACAGUACUGCUGGAGAACCACCUCUCCAAGUGUUUCUAGCAAGCAUUAUGUGCUGCCAAGGCACCUGGGCCAAGUGACACAUUCAUCCUCAAACACUGGAGCUUUGUCCUCCAGUUGGACGCUCCUUGCAGAGGCCAGGACGUUAGUGAUGGGUGGGAGCCAGGGCCCUGCCCUUAACUGUACAACUGUGUGCCUGGCCCUGGUUUGGGUGGGGUAAGAGUUUGUUGCUAUACACACCAAACGAAGGCUCUUAGAGGGGCAGAGAGCCAGUAGGGAGUGCUGACUUCUUCCUCUUCCGUCUUCUUUCCUUUUGUUUUUCAGGAUGGGGGCCUAACUAUAUAGUUGAGGCUGUACUGGAACUUUGUAUUGAUAGCUCAGGCUGGCCUAAAAUCUAUAACAAUCAGGACAGGACAGCAGCACACAGAAUCCGAACUGUAGGGCAACCGUGAUGUCACCCCCAAACCCUUUAGCUGGAGAUGAAGGUUUAAAACAGCAACGUGGGGGCUGGGGAGAUGGCUGGGCAGCUAGCUUGCUAGCCAUGCAGCUGUGAGGCACUGGUUUCCGAUCCUGAAACCUCAGAUAAACUCUAGGAAGGCACAGCAACCUGCCUGUUGCUCAAGCUCCCCUCAAGCUCAGAGGCUGAGGCAGGAUCCCCAGAGCAAGCUGGCUAGCAACCCCAGCUACGCCGGAGUUCUGGGUUUAACUGGAUCAAUGAACAAGGUGGAAGAUCAAUUAAGAAUGACUCCCAACAUCAACCUGGGGUACAGAAACACACAGCAGAAGUACCCACCUACACGUGUGCCCACACACAUGCUAAAACAUGUGUAUGUGCAGAUAGACAGGCAGACACACGCCCACACCCACACAGAUGAAAAGUAGAAAACAGUCUGUAGGGUUUGGGCAGGCAGGGAACAAGAGCGGCGAGCCUCCGUGGGCUUUAAGCAGCACAUUAGCUUUCUGCUAUCUAGCCGACUGCUUGCUUUCAAAGGCUCUACAGCAGCGGUUCUCAACCCUUCGGGGGCCACACAUCAGAUAUCCUGCAUGU
This is a long non-coding RNA of Mus musculus (house mouse), 3613 nucleotides long. RefSeq annotates it as polypeptide N-acetylgalactosaminyltransferase 6, opposite strand. The transcript is spliced from 3 exons. Lineage: Eukaryota; Metazoa; Chordata; Mammalia; Rodentia; Muridae. The record is from RefSeq and is a predicted model, not a curated record.